RNAcentral lists this unclassified non-coding RNA (21 nucleotides) under Chlamydomonas reinhardtii. RNAcentral describes it as "small RNA Cre_3132". The record is from RNAcentral. Lineage: Eukaryota; Viridiplantae; Chlorophyta; Chlorophyceae; Chlamydomonadales; Chlamydomonadaceae.
UGCGGGUGCACCCCAACGUGC